UCGGAGAGAGAUUGUAAAAGGAGAACUUUCGAUUGGUUGAAAAAGCUUUCGCUGUCUCUGGAUAAGACGGCUUCUUUGGGGGGAUUGAAGCCCAGUUUCGUUUCACGAGCUAGUUAGCAUGUCGGCGUACGUGCCCUGCAUGAGCAUCGAUCCCCGCACGAUAAUGUUUGGCAACUGCGCGACUCCGAAACCUUUUCAACUUUUAAAGCCUUGCGCAGUUCCCAAUCUGGGGUACUUUUCAGAGAAUUCCGUGCAACGAGCAUCGUUCAAUUGGAUCCUGGUAGGACACUCGCCAGGCCAACUUUAUCCUUCCUGUCUCCCUUUUUAAUAAGACUCAUGAGGUCAAGUUUAUUGGAAACAUGUGUAACUUCAUUUGCCAUAAAGCAAGGAAUCCAUUUGGUUAACGGAUACUCUUCCUCUUUUCAUGCUUGUUGCAGUUCAGUAUGAGAGAUUUCUAUGCUACUUCUGAGUUCCAGCUUCCAGAAUGAUUAUAAUAGUUACCAUUACUUUUUUGAAACUCGGUAAAAAUAUUUAUGUCAAGGAUAUGUAUUUU
Molecule: long non-coding RNA, 553 nt
Organism: Stegodyphus dumicola
Lineage: Eukaryota; Metazoa; Arthropoda; Arachnida; Araneae; Eresidae
Source: RefSeq, a predicted model, not a curated record